This 375-nucleotide ribosomal RNA is filed under the name uncultured organism. RNAcentral's name for it is "partial 16S ribosomal RNA". It matches the Rfam family "Bacterial small subunit ribosomal RNA", at positions 527 to 896 of the family's 1533-position model. The record is from RNAcentral.
GUAGGUGGCAAGCGUUGUCCGGAAUUAUUGGGCGUAAAGCGCGCGCAGGCGGUUCUUUAAGUCUGAUGUGAAACGCCCACGGCUCAACCGUGGAGGGUCAUUGGAAACUGGAGAACUUGAGUACAGAAGAGGAAAGCGGAAUUCCACGUGUAGCGGUGAAAUGCGUAGAGAUGUGGAGGAACACCAGUGGCGAAGGCGGCUUUCCGGUCUGUAACUGACGCUGAGGCGCGAAAGCGUGGGGAGCAAACAGGGAUUAGAUACCCUGGUAGUCCACGCCGUAAACGAUGAGUGCUAAGUGUUAGGGGGUUUCCCGCCCCCUUAGUGCUGCAGCUAACGCAUUAAACACUCCGCCUGGGGAGUACGGCCGCAAGGCUG